RNAcentral lists this ribosomal RNA (1146 nucleotides) under Triticum aestivum (bread wheat). Its description in RNAcentral is "partial small subunit ribosomal RNA". Lineage: Eukaryota; Viridiplantae; Streptophyta; Magnoliopsida; Poales; Poaceae. The record is from RNAcentral.
AUGGCCGGCGAAGCCAUCGUCUCCGGCGUCGUGGGGGACAUGAUCGGCAGGGCGAUGUCCCUCCUCGCCGGGCAGCUCCUGGACCAGCAGCCGGAGCGGAGCGUCGAGGCCAAGCUGCGGAGGCUGAGGCGCCUGCUCGUCAAGGUCGAGAGAGCCGCGGAUGCCGCCGGGGCGAGGCGGAUCCCGAGCCGCGCGCUGCUCUCCUGGCUCGCGGAGAUCGUCGACGGCGCGUACCGGGGGCGCUACCUCCUCGACGCGUUCCCGGUCCCGAGCGGAGCAGGCGAUCAGGACGACGGCCAUGCUGGCAACAACAAGGUCGUGCCGCUGGCGCGCUCUUUCUCCAUGCCUAGCUCGUUCAACCCCGCUAAGCGCCUGCGCGUCGCGGCCAUGAAGCUGCUGCUCGGCGACGGCGACGGCAGCGCCGACGAGCUAGACGGCGUCAGCGGUCUCACGGAGUUCGUCAUGCUGCUGCAGAUGUGCCCGCCGGCGCUGCACCGGCCGCUUGCCACGAGCAUCUACGCGGACAGCCAGAUGUUCGGACGGCACGUCGAGAGACGCCGCGUUUUGGAGUUCUUGCUGCACGAUGACGAGGGCGAGCCGACGCUGGCAGAGCUAGGCGUCCUCCCUAUAAUCGGCUCCGCCGGCCUGGGGAAGACCACGCUCGAGCAGCACGUCUGCAAGGAGCCCGCGGGCGCACGCGCCGAGGCGGACCCGCGGCUGGCGGCGGCGGGCCAGGCCAUCGCCAAGAGGCUGGGCGGCUCCUUCUUCGGCGGGAAGAUGGUGGGCGCGCUCCUGAGGUCUCGUCCGGACGCGCGGCUAUGGCGUAGCGUCCAGAGCAGCAGCUUCAGCAUCGCCGACGUGUGGUGCCUCGGCAACGAAGGCUGCGUCGCCGCCGCGGCCGGCAGCCUCCUCCCGCGGCAUUUGACCGUGCGCUGCGUCACCGUCUCCGGCUUGCCGAUGAGAGGACUCGUCGGAAUCCAAGAAGCCUCUUUGGCUCUUCCUGCUCCUCCUUGUCCAGACGACGGCCCGGAGUUGCCUGUGCUGCUGUGCAAGUCUGUUCCCUGGCUACUGCGUGUACUACACUGCCCAUUGCACGAUCGACAGAGAGAUCAAUCAGUAAAACGUCCGUCGGACAGUUCCAACUGA